GACGAACGCUGGCGGCGUGCCUAACACAUGCAAGUCGAACGGAGAUACGAUUUCGGUUGUAUCUUAGUGGCGAACGGGUGAGUAACGCGUGAGCAACCUGACUCUUAGAGGGGGAUAACACUGGGAAACGAGUGCUAAUACCGCAUAAGACCACGACAUGGCAUCAUGACGAGGUCAAAGGAGCAAUCCGCUGAGAGGGGCUCGCGUCCCAUUAGAUAGAUGGCGGGGUAACGGCCCACCAUGUCAACGAUGGGUAGCCGAGCUGAGAGGCUGAUCGGCCACACUGGAACUGAGACACGGUCCAGACUCCUACGGGAGGCAGCAGUGGGGAAUAUUGGGCAAUGGGCGCAAGCCUGACCCAGCAACGCCGCGUGAGGGAAGAAGGCUUUCGGGUUGUAAACCUCUGUCCUUGGUGACGAAAAAAAUGACGGUAGCCAAGGAGGAAGCCCCGGCUAACUACGUGCCAGCAGCAGCCGCCG
RNAcentral lists this ribosomal RNA (479 nucleotides) under uncultured bacterium. Its description in RNAcentral is "partial 16S ribosomal RNA". It matches the Rfam family "Bacterial small subunit ribosomal RNA", at positions 28 to 523 of the family's 1533-position model. The record is from RNAcentral.